Molecule: long non-coding RNA, 1920 nt
Organism: Cynara cardunculus var. scolymus (artichoke)
Lineage: Eukaryota; Viridiplantae; Streptophyta; Magnoliopsida; Asterales; Asteraceae
Exons: 3
Source: RefSeq, a predicted model, not a curated record
UGAUUUUCUCUCUCAAAUAUCAUCUCUUGUGUUCUUGAAGAUAUAUCUUAGAUCUGCUAUGAUUAUGAAGUUUUAUGAAGAUUGAUCAUUGUUAGAGGACUCACAAUUGGUAUCAGAGCUGGAUUGCACAAAAUCAGUUGAAAGAAAUCAGAUUUUGAAGAAAUUUUCAAAGAUUAUUUUCUGAAUUUUUUUUUUGUUCUUCGUGUUCUUGUUUUUCUUUAAGUUUGAUCCGAAAUUUUUGGAAAAUUAUGUGUUUUCGUGUUAAAAACAGGAUCAUUUUGUGCGUAAUCUUGUUGUGAAUCUUUGUUUUACACAAAGAUUUACAUUUUGAUCUUCUGAUUUCAAGUUUUUGGUGAAUUUUGUGUUUUAAAUUUUUUUUAUGUGUUCUUAAUUUUUUUAAAUCCAGUGUUUUUGAUCUAUUUUGUUAAAACUUUCUUUUGUUUUUUAUGUUUUUGGGUCUAAAUCUUAAAGCCCAUCAGGAUUAGGCAAGCCCAAGAGGAAUAUAUCACUCAAAUCAAGCAGACUGCUAAAUCGAUCAAAUACCCAGCUUCAUCUUCUUCGCUCAAGAGUCUCAAUAUUCAGUCUCUAAAUCACAAGGUUCAUCGAUUUCAACCUUAAUCACACGGUAAAUCGCAGAUGUCUUGAUUGAUUUAAGGUUUUCAUCUCUCAAGGCUUGAGCAGAUUCUUUUAAAUCGGAGACUUCAUCGCACAAGUGUCCGGAUUCGAUCAACUCUUGACCGGAUAAGUGUUCGGAUUCGUACAACUCUUGACCGGAUAAGUGACCGGAUAGGUAAAUCGAUUGGCUCUUUGAUUGAUUUGUGAGCGAUUUAAGCGAGAGAGUUGAGCGAUUUAGGACUUAACAGUUUGUGCACCUAGGUAUCCGGUUUAUUAAAUCGUUAAAUCCAUCUCAUCCGGAUUCUUAAUCGCUCACUGUUUCUUGACACUAGUUUUGCUAAAUCGCAUACAGUUUUAUUGAUUUCAAGGGUUAUCCAAGUGUGUGAUUUAAGAGGAUUCAUAAAUCGUUCAAGUGAACUGCACUGUGUAUACGAAUCAACAUUCAUCCCUGGUUGAUUCGAGGUAUUGAUUUAGCUGUAUUGAGUCUUUCAUCGGCCAAGGUGCAGGACUGCAGAUUCACUAGUGGUUUGAAAUUGUGUCAUCGCAUCUAAGUUCUGUGUUUGUUUUUGCUAGUGGUGUUGUUUCUUCUGAUGCAUCUGAUUUCUCUUCUUGAUGAGAACCAAAUGAUGAUAAAUAUGAUCUUGAAGAAAUUGAUGUGAAUGAAAAGCUAAAAGCAAAGAUAGAAGGUGCUGAUGGUAAAAAGAAGACACGGGAAAGAACAACCAGCUGCAGGUUUACAGAACCUGCUUGUGUUGAUCUUUGCUGAGGAGUUUUCCAAUUCUGCAAUCUGUUUUUGCUGCUGCUGCUGCUAGUGUUGAUCUUAGAUGAUAAUGCAGCAUUAGUCAGAAGAGAAGCUUUGUAGCCUUUUGUGUAAAUCUGGUCAAUGUGACAGUAGAUGUCAGAUACAAAGGAAAUCCACAGCAGACUGUGUGCAUGGCUAAAAUGAUGAGGUCUGUUCAUUUCACAAGAUUGAAAGCCUUUUUGCAGCAAACUGUUUGGAAGUUUGGUUUUGUCCAAGUUGGUAGAAGAGACAGGACUGCCAAGAACUGCAUCAAGUUCAACAGUACUGAUUUCCAAGAUUUCUGCUUGCAAGUGCUAUUUGAUUUCCAAGAGUUCUGAUUUUCAAAGAGCUGUCCUUGGUGAAUGCAGCAGUAGCACAAGCUUUGGUUGUUAACAGAAGUGGGAUUCUUGGUGCUAUCUCAUUUUGUUGUGAAUUAGAACAUCUUAGACACUUGUAUAUCUUAUCUUGUAAUUGGGUUUGUUGUGUUUCUGGAUUUUGAGUUUUAUUUUUGUUUAGAUUGUAAU